This 73-nucleotide transfer RNA is filed under the name Diaphorina citri (Asian citrus psyllid). It matches the Rfam family "tRNA". Rfam says of the family: Transfer RNA (tRNA) molecules are approximately 80 nucleotides in length. Their secondary structure includes four short double-helical elements and three loops (D, anti-codon, and T loops). Lineage: Eukaryota; Metazoa; Arthropoda; Insecta; Hemiptera; Psyllidae. The record is from Rfam by way of RNAcentral.
GCCUAGUUAGCUUAGUUGGUAGCGCGUCUGCCUUGUAAGCGCUAGGCCGCGGGUUCGAUUCCCGCCCGCGGCA